AUGGCUCUCCAUCGCCUCACCAAGCUGAUGGUGUGCUUGCUGGCAACCACGGCACUGUUGUUUGCCGGCGGCGCGGCAGGCAAGGCUGGACCACCAGCUGGCCGUCAGGCUGGCGGCCACGGCACCGGAGCCCUGCCACCGCUACCUCCCGCGGCAGCUCCUCUGCGGGGGGCCCGUGGCGCCGUCGCUCUCGUCCUGCCAGAAGCCCAAGACCAAGAGAGCCAGGGCGCCGGAGCACGCCCGCCGCUACCUCCAGCCGGAGCUCCUCUGCCGCGCGCCCGCGGCACCGGAGCCCUGCCACCGCUACCUCCCGCUGCAGCUCCUCUGCGGCGCGCCCGUGGCGCCGUCGCCCUGCCCCAAGUCCAAGGCCAAGAAAGCCACGGCACCGGAGCAGGCCCACUGCUACCUCCGGCCGCAACCCCUCUGCCUCACGCCGGCGUGGAGACGAUCACGACGCUGCAGUCCGACCCGUCGCCGGCGAUGAAGAUCACUUACGAAGUCACCAAGACAAAGUACAUGAAGUUCCAGCAAAGCCUUUACCGGAUGCUGACGUCCAGCGGGAGGGAGGUGGAAAACGUUCCCGAGCUGGCUCCCCAGACGGGCCCCAAGAAGCAGCCGCCGAUGUGGAUCCUGAUCACCAUCGAAGUCGAGAAGCCGCAGGAGGCGGUAGUUCUCGCCGUGCGGACCGACAAUGUCUACAUUGUCGGUUUCAAGAACGCGGCGGAAGUCUGGUUCGCCUUCUCCGAUGACAAAGACCUAAUCAAAGGUUCGACGCCGCUCCCCAAGUCGCAUGACUACCGCAGCCUCGUCGGUGGCCGCAAGAAGCUGAAGGACCUCGACGUCGACCAGGACGCCGUCGCGCAAGACGUUCGCUUCCUGUCGACGUACAGGCUCCCUUCCCGGCCGGACACGGCCCACAACGCCAUGCUCGGUACGAGCCUGGGGAGGCUGUCCCUUGUGGUCGCCGAGGCGGCAAGGUUGAAGACGAUCAACGCCACGGUGGUGGCGGCGAUGGAUGAGAAAGGCCCGAGCCGGAUCACCCUACAGCAGACGAAACUCAUCGUCGUUUGGGGCGUGACGUCCAAGGCACUGCUUGAUUGGAAAAAGAAUGGAGUAUGGAACCCGGAAGAUAGCGAGGACGUAAAAGAAGCCGGCAUCCACGGCGCACAAGAUGCCGUUAGCGCGCUCAAGGUUAUUCUUGUGCCCAUUGGGUACAAACGGGAGGCUGAGGAAGAUUAA
RNAcentral lists this ribosomal RNA (1239 nucleotides) under Triticum aestivum (bread wheat). RNAcentral describes it as "partial small subunit ribosomal RNA". Lineage: Eukaryota; Viridiplantae; Streptophyta; Magnoliopsida; Poales; Poaceae. The record is from RNAcentral.